GGAAUUGUUCGCAAUGGGCGCAAGCCUGACGACGCAACGCCGCGUGGAGGAUGAAGAUCUUCGGGUCGUACACUCCUUUCGAUCGAGACGAAUAGCCUUUGGGUUAAUAGCCCGAGGGAAUGACGGUACCGAGAGAAGAAGCCCCGGCUAACUCCGUGCCAGCAGCCGCGGUAAUACGGGGGGGGCAAGCGUUGUUCGGAAUUACUGGGCGUAAAGGGCUCGUAGGUGGCCAACUAAGUCAACCGUGAAAUCCCUCGGCUUAACCGGGGAACUGCGUUUGAUACUGGAUGGCUUGAGUUUGGGAGAGGGAUGCGGAAUUCCAGGUGUAGCGGUGAAAUGCGUAGAUAUCCGGAGGAACACCGGUGGCGAAGGCGGCAUCCUGGACCAAUACUGACACUGAGGAGCGAAAGCCAGGGGAGCAAAC
This 424-nucleotide ribosomal RNA is filed under the name uncultured bacterium. RNAcentral's name for it is "bacterial SSU rRNA". It matches the Rfam family "Bacterial small subunit ribosomal RNA", at positions 358 to 773 of the family's 1533-position model. The record is from RNAcentral.